Molecule: long non-coding RNA, 947 nt
Organism: Zonotrichia leucophrys gambelii
Lineage: Eukaryota; Metazoa; Chordata; Aves; Passeriformes; Passerellidae
Exons: 3
Source: RefSeq, a predicted model, not a curated record
AGACACUUGGAGCUUUCUGAAUGGGUGUGGUGUUACUUGGUAUGUGUUGAAGCUUUCUGAAAUUUAUGCUGUGCUGUGUGUCAUGGCUGUCUCAACUGCAACAUGUUCAGUGUAAUACCUUGGCUGAAAAAAGAAUUCUUGUUGCACAGCAGCUUAGACUUGGCAGUUUGUUCAUGUGUUUAAAUGACAAGCCUACUGCUCUGCACUUAUUACAACAGUGCUGAGUGAGUGGGCACAGUGUUAUGGCAUGGUGCAGAAAUAUGGCAAGGGCUGGCAUCAAAAUGGGGCUUGUUUUCCCCCUCUCUGUUACUGGGCUGCAGUUUGCCAUUGUUAAGGUAGCUUUAAUUGUCUGACACUGGCUGGUCCUUGGGUCCUGUUUGCCUGCCUUGAAGAUCUCUGUUGGAAAGCUUCACAUUAGGCAAACAGUGUUUUAGAUGAAAAAUGAUCUUCAUGGAAAGGAACUUUUACUUUCAAACUAGGUCAGCUGUCUGUGUGGAAUCCAGCUGGUGCUUUCCCAAACUAGCUAUGCAAGGGUCUUGAAAAAGUGGAAGGUUGAAACUCUGUGCAACAUAAAGGAAUGGGACAUUUCACAAUAGUUAAAUUUCACUUUUCUCAAAAGCAAUCGUAUGACUUCCUACUACUAUGACCCCAGGAAAUUUUUCUGAAGCUCUAUAUUAUGGAGGUAAUUUGUUUAAAAGGUUUUGUUUGACUCUGUUUAUUUCUCCCUCUUCUAAUAAUUACCUGAAAGAUAUUGUCAACACCUGCUUUCGUAUCCUGAGUGUUAAGGUGGGAUUUUGGAUAUAUUCACAAUAUUGCUCUAUGUCAAAAUGCUUGGAGUGUAAAGUGCAUUGUCGCUUUCCAAGUUGUGCUGUAUGUUUUCUUACAAACAAGAAGUAUCCAUUUGUUUAAACUCUGAGUUACCGAAAUUAUAUCUCCUUUGCCAUGUC